This is a long non-coding RNA of Glycine soja, 272 nucleotides long. RefSeq lists it as uncharacterized. NCBI's taxonomy places the organism in Eukaryota, Viridiplantae, Streptophyta, Magnoliopsida, Fabales, Fabaceae. The transcript is spliced from 3 exons. The record is from RefSeq and is a predicted model, not a curated record.
GAAGCGUUAACUGUCAUGCGGUUACAUUGUUGGUGAAAUGAGUUGUAAGUUAUGCACCCAAAGGUGAUCAUUACAAGGAAUCACAAAAAUGAUAAUAUUUCAGUCAAAGGGUGUGACUAUUGUCUAGAGCCACACAAGGGGUGAUAUCAAGUGGUCAAUAAACUGGAAUGGGAAGUGAGUAUUAUCAGUCAUCUAUGCAGAGCUAUUUAAGGGGAAAUGUCUGGGACAUCCAAAGUUGUGCUUGCUCUCCACUCUAUCAAAUAAUAUGACAC